RNAcentral lists this long non-coding RNA (315 nucleotides) under Sus scrofa (pig). RNAcentral's name for it is "lncRNA (ENSSSCG00040046566.1)". Lineage: Eukaryota; Metazoa; Chordata; Mammalia; Artiodactyla; Suidae. The record is from RNAcentral.
CACAUGCAGCUUAACCGAAAAGGGUAUUUCCUCCCUUCAGAGAAAGCUCCCUAGUCUGGCGCGGGGUGCUUUUUACUUUACGUUGUUGCAAGUAGAAGUUCCUUCAGUCUCCUCCCCUGGGGUAAGUGGAAAGGAGUCCAGCAGCGGUGGACACCCGGCGAUCGGAUAGCAGCGGAGUUAGAGACAACUUGGGGGCUGCCGGGCAGAAGCAGGUAGGCCAUUUUUAAUUGAAGGAAGCUGCCUCUGCGUGGGAGUGGCAGGAGGAGUAAGAAAACCACAUGGAAGACUCCCAGGAUUUAAAUGAACAAUCAGUAA